CUUCCUUCGGUGGUACCGUCAGCUGCUUCUAGAGCAGGUUUCUUCCCACCAGACAGGGCUUUACGACCCGAAGGCCUUCUUCACCCACGCGACGUUGCUGCGUCAGGCUUUCGCCCAUUGCGCAAUAUUCCCC
Molecule: ribosomal RNA, 133 nt
Filed under: uncultured bacterium
Lineage: Bacteria
Description: partial 16S ribosomal RNA
Source: RNAcentral